Molecule: ribosomal RNA, 174 nt
Filed under: Cryptosporidium sp.
Lineage: Eukaryota; Apicomplexa; Conoidasida; Eucoccidiorida; Cryptosporidiidae
Description: partial small subunit ribosomal RNA
Rfam family: Eukaryotic small subunit ribosomal RNA
Source: RNAcentral
GACAAGAAAUAACAAUACAGGACUUAUUAGUCUUGUAAUUGGAAUGAGUGUAACUUAAAUCCCUUUACGAGUAUCAAUUGGAGGGCAAGUCUGGUGCCAGCAGCCGCGGUAAUUCCAGCUCCAAUAGCGUAUAUUAAAGUUGUUGCGGUUAAAAAGCUCGUAGUUGGAUUUCUG